GCACACUGCAGGUUGGCGACCGCGUCCUCUCUGUGAGUGGGGAUGGGGCCCCGCCCCACCCACCCAUCCCCCCUGCCCCGCCCCGCGCCCUCUGUCCCCUUCUGCCCUUGGGCCUCCCUGAUUCGGGCACGCUCUCACAGAUUAAUGGAGUGGACGUGACUGAGGCCAGGCAUGACCACGCCGUCUCCCUGCUGACCGCUGCCUCCCCCACCAUCGCCCUGCUGUUGGAGCGGGAGGCUGGGGGCCCUCUUCCUCCCAGCCCUCUGCCACAUUCCUCACCCCCCACCGCUGCUGUUGCCACCACCAGCAUAACCACUGCCACCCCCGGGGUGCCUGGGUUGCCGAGCCUGGCCCCCAGCCUGCUGGCUGCCGCGUUGGAAGGGCCAUACCCAGUGGAGGUGAGACACAAGCCCCCACCCAGGCACCCACCCAGCUUCAGCUGUGGGCACUGGCCU
Molecule: long non-coding RNA, 455 nt
Filed under: Homo sapiens (human)
Lineage: Eukaryota; Metazoa; Chordata; Mammalia; Primates; Hominidae
Description: non-protein coding lnc-PUF60-1:1
Source: RNAcentral